UACGUAGGGUGCAAGCGUUGUCCGGAAUUAUUGGGCGUAAAGAGCUCGUAGGCGGUCUGUCGCGUCGGCUGUGAAAACUCGGGGCUCAACUCCGAGCUUGCAGUCGAUACGGGCAGGCUAGAGUUCGGCAGGGGAGACUGGAAUUCCUGGUGUAGCGGUGGAAUGCGCAGAUAUCAGGAAGAACACCGAUGGCGAAGGCAGAUCUCUGGGCCGUAACUGACGCUGAGGAGCGAAAGCAUGGGGAGCGAACAGG
Molecule: ribosomal RNA, 253 nt
Filed under: uncultured bacterium
Lineage: Bacteria
Description: partial 16S ribosomal RNA
Rfam family: Bacterial small subunit ribosomal RNA
Source: RNAcentral